This 468-nucleotide ribosomal RNA is filed under the name uncultured bacterium. RNAcentral describes it as "partial 16S ribosomal RNA". It matches the Rfam family "Bacterial small subunit ribosomal RNA", at positions 29 to 507 of the family's 1533-position model. The record is from RNAcentral.
ACGAACGCUGGCGGCGUGCUUAACACAUGCAAGUCGCACGGAAAGGCCCUGCUUGCAGGGUGCUCGAGUGGCGAACGGGUGAGUAACACGUGGGUGAUCUGCCCCUUAUUUUGGGAUAAGCCUGGGAAACUGGGUCUAAUACUGGAUAGGACCAUGCUGUAGGUGGUGUGGUGGAAAGAUUAGUUUCGGUAAGGGAUGAGCUCGCGGCCUAUCAGCUUGUUGGUGGGGUAAUGGCCUACCAAGGCGUCGACGGGUAGCCGGCCUGAGAGGGUGGACGGCCACAUUGGGACUGAGAUACGGCCCAGACUCCUACGGGAGGCAGCAGUGGGGAAUAUUGCACAAUGGGCGCAAGCCUGAUGCAGCGACGCCGCGUGGGGGAUGACGGCCUUCGGGUUGUAAACUCCUUUCAGCCAUGACGAAGCCCUUGUGGCGACGGUAGUGGUAGAAGAAGCACCGGCUAACUACGUG